This 429-nucleotide ribosomal RNA is filed under the name Actinomycetes bacterium. Its description in RNAcentral is "Actinobacteria bacterium partial 16S ribosomal RNA". It matches the Rfam family "Bacterial small subunit ribosomal RNA", at positions 355 to 776 of the family's 1533-position model. The record is from RNAcentral. Lineage: Bacteria; Bacillati; Actinomycetota; Actinomycetes.
UAGGGAAUCUUCCGCAAUGGGCGAAAGCUUGACGGAGCAACGCCGCGUGAGUGAUGAAGGUCUUCGGAUCGUAAAACUCUGUUAUUAGGGAAGAACAAAUGUGUAAGUAACUAUGCACGUCUUGACGGUACCUAAUCAGAAAGCCACGGCUAACUACGUGCCAGCAGCCGCGGUAAUACGUAGGUGGCAAGCGUUAUCCGGAAUUAUUGGGCGUAAAGCGCGCGUAGGCGGUUUUUUAAGUCUGAUGUGAAAGCCCACGGCUCAACCGUGGAGGGUCAUUGGAAACUGGAAAACUUGAGUGCAGAAGAGGAAAGUGGAAUUCCAUGGGUAGCGGUGAAAUGCGCAGAGAUAUGGAGGAACACCAGUGGCGAAGGCGACUUUCUGGUCUGUAACUGACGCUGAUGUGCGAAAGCGUGGGGAUCAAACAGG